Molecule: ribosomal RNA, 253 nt
Filed under: uncultured bacterium
Lineage: Bacteria
Description: partial 16S ribosomal RNA
Rfam family: Bacterial small subunit ribosomal RNA
Source: RNAcentral
UACGAAGGGGGCUAGCGUUGUUCGGAAUUACUGGGCGUAAAGGGCGCGUAGGCGGCCGCUCAAGUCAGAAGUGAAAGCCCCGGGCUUAACCUGGGAAUAGCUUUUGAUACUGGGUGGCUUGAGUUCCGGAGAGGAUGGUGGAAUUCCCAGUGUAGAGGUGAAAUUCGUAGAUAUUGGGAAGAACACCGGUGGCGAAGGCGGCCAUCUGGACGGACACUGACGCUGAGGCGCGAAAGCGUGGGGAGCAAACAGG